This 1175-nucleotide long non-coding RNA is filed under the name Homo sapiens (human). Its description in RNAcentral is "long intergenic non-protein coding RNA 1095". The record is from RNAcentral. Lineage: Eukaryota; Metazoa; Chordata; Mammalia; Primates; Hominidae.
GUCCAGGGCUCCCUGAGGGAGGCCAGCACAAGAGCUCUGCCAUAAAAGGACAUUGGACAGAAGUGAAGAGUCCAAUCAGAAACUCUUUUUGAGAGACUGAACGCAAAGCAUUCAGAGAGUCAGCAGGCUGGAGAGGCCAAGACACACACACGAAGAAGGCAGGACACUCUUCUCCUCCUGCGGUUGGACUCCAGGCUCUAUGACCUUCAAACUCCAGGACUUACACCAGUUGCCCCUGGGCACUCAGGACUUCUGCUUCAGACUGACAGUUGCAGGACAGUGCAGCAUUUUAUUUUAAAGAUACCCCACAACGUAGGUGGCCAGUCCUGCUGCAGGGCAGAUACGCUCCCUUGAUUCUGAGGUCUUUGAACUUGCUGUGAAGCCACACUACCUGCGUCCCAGGGUCUCCAGCUUGCAGAUGGACUGUGGUGGGACUUCUCAGUCACCAAGAUUGAGAGCUGUACUAGCCUGGCAUGCAGACAGCAGCUUUAGAAUCAGAUCUGCCUUCUGGCGGCUUCCCACCUAGGAGCCAUGGGACCUUUGUGAAGUCACCAAUUGUGCUGUGGAUGCUUCAUUUGUGAAGGAGAACAGGACUGCCUUGUGAAAUUACGGAUGGUGCUACUAAAACAUAUCAAUAAUUUGAAUUUCACUUUUGUGGAUGCUUUAAACAUCAUAGUCAUUAGAAGGUGGAUCUGGCUGAUUGUACUUUAAGUUUUCAGUUUGAGCUGGAGCUUUGUAUUAUAACAGGAGGGUACUGGACAAGAUGAGGAAACUGAGGUACAGAUGGGAAACUUGCUCAAGUUCACACAGCAAUUAAGUGAUCAAGUCCAAGAGCAAAACCAGGCAGGCUGGCUCCAGAGCUCACGAUAGUCCACCACUGCUUUCCACCAUCACUACGGAAUCAAGUCCAUGAGGAUACUCACCUUAUGUCAGUUGCCUAAGUUGGAAAUUAUAGAAUCUUCAAAUUGGAAGGGACGUUAUCAUCCAAGAUUUCAACUUUCUACUCACUGCAAAAUCCCUUCUGGAACUUCCCAGAUUGAUGAAUUUUCAUCAGCUCUGCUUGAGUACUCCCAGUGACUUGGAAAAAAAACACUGUAAUAUGGAUAUGAAAUAUAAACUGUUCAUGGAUAAAUUAUUGCAUAAUAAAAACAUGCCUAAUGGCUACACUCCCCUAA